This 1053-nucleotide ribosomal RNA is filed under the name Elbe River snow isolate Iso15_3. RNAcentral describes it as "bacterial SSU rRNA". It matches the Rfam family "Bacterial small subunit ribosomal RNA", at positions 93 to 1156 of the family's 1533-position model. The record is from RNAcentral. Lineage: Bacteria; Bacillati; Bacillota; Clostridia; Eubacteriales.
UAGUGGCGAACGGGUGAGUAAUGCAUAACCAACCUGCCUAUAAGGACUGGGAUAACGUUUGGAAACGAACGCUAAAACCGUGAUAGGUCAUCGGAAGGCAUCUUCUGAUGAUUAAAGGUGAGAAACACAAAUAGAUGGGGUUAUGUCGCAUUAGUUAGUUGGUGAGGUAACGGCUCACCAAGACGAUGAUGCGUAGCCGGCCUGAGAGGGUGAACGGCCACAUUGGGACUGAGACACGGCCCAAACUCCUACGGGAGGCAGCAGUAGGGAAUUUUCGGCAAUGGGCGCAAGCCUGACCGAGCAACGCCGCGUGAGUGAAGACGGCCUUCGGUUGUAAAGCUCUGUUGUAAAGGAAGAACGGCCUGGAUAGGAUCUAGGAGUGACGGUACUUUACCAGAAGCCACGGCUAACUACGUGCCAGCAGCCGCGGUAAUACGUAGGUGGCAAGCGUUAUCCGGAAUUAUUGGGGCGUAAAGGGUGCGUAGGCGGUUGAUUAAGUUUUAGGUGAAAGCGUGGGGCUCAACUCCAUACAGCCUAAGAAACUGGUCAACUAGAGUGCAGAAGAGGGUAGUGGAAUUCCAUGUGUAGCGGUAAAAUGCGUAGAUAUAUGGAGGAACACCAGUGGCGAAGGCGGCUACCUGGUCUGUAACUGACGCUCAAGCACGAAAGCGUGGGGAGCAAAUAGGAUUAGAUACCCUAGUAGUCCACGCCGUAAACGAUGGAUACUAAGUGUUGGGGAAACUCAGUGCUGCAGUUACGCAAUAAGUAUCCCGCCUGGGGAGUAUGCACGCAAGUCUGAAACUCAAAGGAAUUGACGGGGGCCCGCACAAGCGGUGGAGUAUGUGGUUUAAUUCGACGCAACGCGAAGAACCUUACCAGGUCUUGACAUACCGGACAAGUCUAUAGAGAUAUAGAGGAGGAUGAAGGAUACAGGUGGUGCAUGGUUGUCGUCAGCUCGUGUCGUGAGAUGUUGGGUUAAGUCCCGCAACGAGCGCAACCCUUUGUCUUUCAGUUACCAUCAUUAAAUUGGGGACUCUUGGAGAGACUGCCGGU